This 79-nucleotide transfer RNA is filed under the name Ovis aries (sheep). It matches the Rfam family "tRNA". From Rfam's summary of the family: Transfer RNA (tRNA) molecules are approximately 80 nucleotides in length. Their secondary structure includes four short double-helical elements and three loops (D, anti-codon, and T loops). Lineage: Eukaryota; Metazoa; Chordata; Mammalia; Artiodactyla; Bovidae. The record is from Rfam by way of RNAcentral.
UCCCCAGUGGCUUAGUGGUAAAGAAUCUGCCUGCAAUGCAGGAGAAGAGGCAAGAGCCACGGGUUCCAUCCCUGGGGAU